AAGUCUGACGACCAUAGCGUCUUGGUACCACCCCUUCCCAUCCCGAACAGGACCGUGAAACAAGACCGCGCCGAUGAUAGUGAGCCCGCGCUCGUGAAAGUAGGUCAUCGUCAGACUA
This 118-nucleotide ribosomal RNA is filed under the name Azoarcus olearius. Lineage: Bacteria; Pseudomonadati; Pseudomonadota; Betaproteobacteria; Rhodocyclales; Zoogloeaceae. The record is from RNAcentral.